GUUAGUUUUUAUUCAUCUCAUGAGACAGAUGAGUAAACUGAGGACUUAGGAUGCUAACUGACUUGCCAAAGGUCACUCAGUCACCAGAGGAUGGAUCCAGGAUUUCACUCUGACUGCAGUUACACUGUGGACAGACUCAGCUCACCACACUGGAUGACUUCAUCAGGGUCAAGGACUAAAGGACUGUCCUUCAAAUUCAUAAACAAGGACGACUGCUGACCGGGGCAGACUAUUAGACUUCUGGAUUUCUUGAAUUCUUUCGUGACAGAAGAAGAAUAAAUCAAAGAAGAACUCACCUUGGUAUGUAUGCACAUCCUGUUGGGGAUGCUCUAGAUUUACCCAUGGAAUCCUCUUCAGAGUGCUUUUUUU
This 369-nucleotide long non-coding RNA is filed under the name Mustela putorius furo (domestic ferret). RNAcentral's name for it is "lncRNA (ENSMPUG00000026796.1)". Lineage: Eukaryota; Metazoa; Chordata; Mammalia; Carnivora; Mustelidae. The record is from RNAcentral.